GUUUCACCAAGCGGCGUCGUCUUUCUGGCGGUGACACACACACAAGAUAGCAAAACCCUUGCGAACGCAGCUUGCAAUGCAAGUGGGUCAAAACCCUUGAUACGAUCCGUUGUAAUAUCACUCACUGGAUAGACUGGGAGGAUAGUCUCCGUCAGAAAGAAAUACAAAACCGAAAAUGGCAACGGCGUAUAGAUUAGCAGCAAUGGCGAGUGCGAGGUCUGUGGCCUCUCGUCCAAACUCGGUACUCAGAAGAACUAUGGCUGCUCCUAAACCAAUUCCAACUUUCCCUUUUUCUUCUUCCACCUCACCCCUCCCUCGAGCUGCCUCCAGGUACCCUUUUCAUAUCAUUGACUCUUUCUUAAUUACUUAUCAGGUACUUCUUUAAUUAGGUGACAAAAUCGUCCUCCACACUUACGCAUAACUUUUUUUUUGUUUAUUUUAAUAAUCGACUAUUUGUUUUCCGGACCUGACAGGGUUGUUGCGGCAAUGGGGAGCGUGGAGUCGAUGAUGCCGCUUCAUAGCGCCAUAGCUUCAGCUCGUCUCAGGUCCAGUAUUGCCUUUGAUUCCUCGUGCUGGAGCUUCCUCUCUCAAGGUCUCUAUUCUUUUCCUAAUCUUUAGCUCACUAUGGUUCAACGAUUUUGACUUUUUUUUUCCCGUAUCCUUUUUGUGUUAUGUAGUCUAUAUAUGAAGUGAUUGAAAGUUGUUUCGGGAAUUAAGCUGUUUUGUGUGUUCAUUUAAGAUUUUGGGGGUCUAAAUGAUUACAGUAAGUGCACUUAUUAGAUAAUCCUUUACAAACUUCGUAGCUGUACACAGAAUUCAUCGAGUAAUUGUCUAUUACGUUCUCAUGAGCUUGUUGUAUUUGAUGGUGGUAUAGGACUUGCAAUACCUUUGUGACAAGAUUUCGCUGGGGUACCACCAGAAGGCAAUUGGAUACUUCCUUUUUCUUUUUUGGUUGAAGUUCCUGUACCCCUUUUGAUGUUGGAAUUAGAUUGAUUUCAAUAACUAGCUUGAGUUUGCUGCUUUUGGGUAAACACCCGCUGAUAACAAGUGAUAUUAUUUGCUUCCCAUUUGCCCCAAUGAUGAUUGUGUUUCAUGUUGCUGAUUGGGAUAUGGAGGAAUUCUGUCUUGGAUUCCUUUUGGGUGAGGUUGAAGGGCAGCCUUUUCUGUAUAAUUUCAUUUGUCUAUUCUUCUCUGGUUUUUUGAGACUUUAUUCUUCUGACUGCUGGUCUUCUCUGCUUGUACUGAAGAAUCUUUCUUCUUUUACUAAACAGGCUUGAGUGGGUAUUUUUCCAGAAGUAUGUAAGAGGAUUAUAUAUACCUAACAAUUUCUUUGUCCAGAAUCUGCUGAAUUUUGAGUUUUGAGGUGGCUAUUGUUUUAUACCUGCAUUUGAUGGACUUGUAUUGAUACACCUAUGUUGGGAAUGAAAUGCUUCUUGUGGGUGAAAGUACUUGUAAUGUGAAAGUUAUUGAUUUUACCCACCAUUACCCUUUGCUAGGGAACUGGAAGAGCACCAUAGUUUUGCCUGGUGUGAUGCUUCCUACUUUGUUUACCAAUCAUAUCACUCCUCCUCUUUACUUCAAUCAUCCACCCACCCUUCAUUAUCCAAUAGAGGUAAUGAACGGUAAACACAAACCUCUGGUGCUCCUUGGGGUGCUUCAUUAUCUGUUGUCCUAAAUGUCCUGUUUAAACUUUCCUGAUGCUAUCUCCUUGAAAUGUUGGGGAAGGUUUUUAUUUCCCCCCCUACACUUGGUUUGAGUCUUAAAGUCUAUCAUCUCUAAGCUUAUUUAAGAAGCAUGAAAGUUAAUUGGAUUAUCCUCCCAUCAGAUGAGACUCGGCAACCAAUAGUAAUAGAUGGUCAUAGUGGUCUUACUACUGCAUAAGUAACAGAAGUUGGGAACUCAAUCAGCUUUCAUAAUCUAUUACUGUUGCAGCUGAAUUUACUAUAAAUGAUCUUUGAGAACACUUACCAGAAAAACUUUUCGCUGAUUUGCCUUCAUUUUUUCUUUCUACAAAUGCAUUAGACUUUGCUGUUCCACGGUGACAAAGCUCCGGGUUGCAGUUGACCGGUUUCUCUUCUACUACUUCUGUCCAGUCCCAAACCUUCCCCUAGCCGUAUCCUUUCAUGAAUUCUUGAGUAAGGGUAUCCACUGUAGCUUUGAAGAGUGCUUUUGUUGAUUUUCAUCUAUAGGUGUUAUCUUUCGUAUCCCCUUUCAUGUUAGUGAUAGGAUGCUGAAAAUUGACAGAUGAUAGGUUAUUGUUGCCAGGGUGGAAUACAUUUCUAUCAAAUGUGCUCAAGCCCCAUUUCGCUGCCUACUUUUUCCCUUCCCCUUCCCCACGGUGACACAACCCAAAAAAAAUAAAAAGAUCUUGGAAAUGAAAGGAGGGGCGGAAAAAGCAAAGACGUUGAUUUAGGUUUUGCCUUUUGCCGAGAAGCCUGUUGAAGACUUUACCCGUUGGACUAGUCCUUAGUUGUUUUGAUUUGGCUUACUUAUAAAGCAGGCUCACUGAUUUGAUAGAAAGAAUCAUUUGAAACUUGCCUACAAGCUGGAAGUAGCCGUGAUUGUAUUCUCUUUUGUGCAACCAUGAGAAUUUGGUAGUACGUUUCCAAUAUGGUGCCUAAUUUUGCUUUUAUACUAGUUCCUAAUUAUUUUCCAGUCGCGUACUUUUGUCUGGUGCCAGAAAAAAGAAUGAUUGCAAUAUCAAGGCAAAGGGAAGUCUAGAGAUUUUCUUUAAGCAACUUGAAUUGCCCCGAUACUGUACAUGAAGCUGUAUGCCUGAUAAGAUUCAAAAAU
RNAcentral lists this long non-coding RNA (2793 nucleotides) under Coffea arabica (coffee). Its description in RNAcentral is "long non-coding RNA (CARA_LNC001615)". Lineage: Eukaryota; Viridiplantae; Streptophyta; Magnoliopsida; Gentianales; Rubiaceae. The record is from RNAcentral.